Molecule: ribosomal RNA, 980 nt
Filed under: Peribacillus simplex
Lineage: Bacteria; Bacillati; Bacillota; Bacilli; Caryophanales; Bacillaceae
Description: bacterial SSU rRNA
Rfam family: Bacterial small subunit ribosomal RNA
Source: RNAcentral
GUGCAUGCGGGGUGCUAUACAUGCAGUCGAGCGGAUCGAUGGGAGCUUGCUCCCUGAUGUUAGCGGCGGACGGGUGAGUAACACGUGGGCAACCUGCCUGUAAGACUGGGAUAACUUCGGGAAACCGGAGCUAAUACCGGAUACGUUCUUUUCUCGCAUGAGAGAAAAUGGAAAGACGGUUUACGCUGCCACUUAUAGAUGGGCCCGCGGCGCAUUAGCUAGUUGGUGAGGUAAUGGCUCACCAAGGCGACGAUGCGUAGCCGACCUGAGAGGGUGAUCGGCCACACUGGGACUGAGACACGGCCCAGACUCCUACGGGAGGCAGCAGUAGGGAAUCUUCCGCAAUGGACGAAAGUCUGACGGAGCAACGCCGCGUGAACGAAGAAGGCCUUCGGGUCGUAAAGUUCUGUUGUUAGGGAAGAACAAGUACCAGAGUAACUGCUGGUACCUUGACGGUACCUAACCAGAAAGCCACGGCUAACUACGUGCCCGCAGCCGCGGUAAUACCUAGGUGGCAAGCGUUGUCCGGAAUUAUUGGGCGUAAAGCGCGCGCAGGUGGUUCCUUAAGUCUGAUGUGAAAGCCCACGGCUCAACCGGGGAAGGUCAUUGGAAACUGGGGAACUUGAGUGCAGAAGAAGAAAGUGGAAUUCCAAGUGUAGCGGUGAAAUGCGUAGAGAUUUGGAGGAACACCAGUGGCGAAAGCGACUUUCUGGUCUGUAACUGACACUGAAGCGCGAAAGCGUGGGGAGCAAACAGGAUUAGAUACCCUGGUAGUCCACGCCGUAAACCAUGAGUGCUAAAUGUGUAGAGGGGUUCCGCCCCUUUAGUGCUGCAGCUAACGCAUUAAGCACUCCCGCCUGGGGGAGUACGCGGCGCCAGGCUUGAAACUCAAAAGGAAUUGACAGGGGGCCCCCCCAAACGGGGGGAGCCUGUGGGUUUAAUUUUCAAACAACGCGAAAAAACCUUAACCAGGUCUUGGA